RNAcentral lists this ribosomal RNA (253 nucleotides) under uncultured bacterium. RNAcentral's name for it is "partial 16S ribosomal RNA". It matches the Rfam family "Bacterial small subunit ribosomal RNA", at positions 524 to 776 of the family's 1533-position model. The record is from RNAcentral.
UACGAACUGUGCGAACGUUAUUCGGAAUCACUGGGCUUACAGGGUGCGUAGGCGGCUUUUCAAGUCAGGUGUGAAAGCCCCCGGCUCAACCGGGGAAUUGCGCUUGAAACUGGAGAGCUCGAGUCAGCUAGAGGUGCACGGAACUUCCAGUGGAGCGGUGAAAUGUGUUGAUAUUCGAAGGAACACCGGAGGCGAAAGCGGUGCACUGGGGCUGGUCUGACGCUGAGGCACGAAAGCCAGGGUAGCGAACGGG